GAAUUGCGAUAAGUAAUGUGAAUUGCAGAAUUCAGUGAAUCAUCAAAUCUUUGAACGCACAUUGCGCUCCUUGGUAUUCCGGGGAGCAUGCCUGUUUGAGAAUCAAUAAAUCCCUCACCGACUUGUACCGUUUGGCCUUUGGUCACCCGGAGCAUGAAGGUGGAUCUGAGUCCUUUGCGUCCCUCUCGGAAGCAAUGACUUUAAAUGCAAUGUCUGCAGCCUUACCCUCUUUUCGGGACUGGCUUUGAGUGCAUGAACUGUUUUAAUUAACCCAGAUUUCACUCGAUUGAGCCUUUCUCCAACGGAGGGUGCCGCGUGACUCAACCAUGACAUCCUUGCAACGUCGAAAAGCUUUUCGACACGGCAUCGAAUACUUGGUCUCAAAUCAGGUAGGAAAACC
This 400-nucleotide unclassified non-coding RNA is filed under the name uncultured fungus. RNAcentral describes it as "sequence contains ITS1". The stretch from base 1 to 105 matches the Rfam family "5.8S ribosomal RNA", at positions 50 to 154 of the family's 154-position model. The record is from RNAcentral. Lineage: Eukaryota; Fungi.